GCCCCAGUGGCUCAGUGGAUGAAACGGCGGUUUCCUAAACCGUUGGUCGCAAGUUCGAUUCUUGCCUGGGGCG
Molecule: transfer RNA, 73 nt
Filed under: Polyangiaceae bacterium
Lineage: Bacteria; Pseudomonadati; Myxococcota; Polyangiales; Polyangiaceae
Description: tRNA-Arg
Rfam family: tRNA
About the family: Transfer RNA (tRNA) molecules are approximately 80 nucleotides in length. Their secondary structure includes four short double-helical elements and three loops (D, anti-codon, and T loops).
Source: RNAcentral